GACGAACGCUGGCGGCGUGCUUAACACAUGCAAGUCGAACGGAAAGGCCCUGCUUUUGUGGGGUGCUCGAGUGGCGAACGGGUGAGUAACACGUGAGUAACCUGCCCUUGACUUUGGGAUAACUUCAGGAAACUGGGGCUAAUACCGGAUAGGAGCUCCUGCUUCAUGGUGGGGGUUGGAAAGUUUCGGCGGUUGGGGAUGUACUCGCUGCUUAUCAGCUUGUUGGUGGGGUAGUGGCUUACCAAGGCUUUGACGGGUAGCCGGCCUGAGAGGGUGACCGGCCACAUUGGGACUGAGAUACGGCGCAGACUCCUACGGGAGGCAGCAGUGGGGAAUAUUGCACAAUGGGCGGAAGCCUGAUGCAGCAACGCCGCGUGCGGGAUGACGGCCUUCGGGUUGUAAACCGCUUUCGCCUGUGACGAAGCGUGAGUGACGGUAAUGGGUAAAGAAGCACCGGCUAACUACGUG
This 468-nucleotide ribosomal RNA is filed under the name uncultured bacterium. RNAcentral describes it as "partial 16S ribosomal RNA". It matches the Rfam family "Bacterial small subunit ribosomal RNA", at positions 28 to 507 of the family's 1533-position model. The record is from RNAcentral.